AGUGAACGCUGGCGGUAGGCCUAACACAUGCAAGUCGAACGGCAGCACAGUAAGAGCUUGCUCUUACGGGUGGCGAGUGGCGGACGGGUGAGGAAUACAUCGGAAUCUACUUUUUCGUGGGGGAUAACAUAGGGAAACUUACGCUAAUACCGCAUACGACCUACGGGUGAAAGCAGGGGAGCUUCGGACCUUUCGCGAUUGAAUGAGCCGAUGUCGGAUUAGCUAGUUGGCGGGGUAAAGGCCCACCAAGGCGACGAUCCGUAGCUGGUCUGAGAGGAUGAUCAGCCACACUGGAACUGAGACACGGUCCAGACUCCUACGGGAGGCAGCAGUGGGGAAUAUUGGACAAUGGGCGCAAGCCUGAUCCAGCCAUACCGCGUGGGUGAAGAAGGCCUUCGGGUUGUAAAGCCCUUUUGUUGGGAAAGAAAAGCAGCAGGUUAAUACCCCGCUGUUCUGACGGUACCCAAAGAAUAAGCACCGGCUAACUUCGUG
This 492-nucleotide ribosomal RNA is filed under the name uncultured bacterium. RNAcentral's name for it is "partial 16S ribosomal RNA". It matches the Rfam family "Bacterial small subunit ribosomal RNA", at positions 29 to 507 of the family's 1533-position model. The record is from RNAcentral.